CCUACGGGAGACAGCAGUGGGGAAUAUUGCACAAUGGGGGGAACCCUGAUGCAGCGACGCCGCGUGAGUGAAGAAGUAUUUCGGUAUGUACAGCUCUAUCAGCAGGGACGAAAAUGACGGUACCUGACUAAGAAGCCCCGGCUAACUACGUGCCAGCAGCCGCGGUAAUACGUAGGGGGCAAGCGUUAUCCGGAUUUCCUGGGUGGAAAGGGAGCGUAGACGGCAGAGAAAGUCAGAAGUGAACGCCCGCGGCUCAACUGCGGGACUGCUUUGGAAACUGCGCGGCUAGAGUGCUGGAGAGGUAAGCGGAAUUCCUAGUGUAGCGGUGAAAUGCGUAGAUAUUAGGAGGAACACCAGUGGCGAAGGCGGCUUACUGGACAGUAACUGACGUUGAGGCUCGAAAGCGUGGGGAGCAAACAGGAUUAGAUACCCCUGUAGUC
RNAcentral lists this ribosomal RNA (440 nucleotides) under uncultured bacterium. Its description in RNAcentral is "partial 16S ribosomal RNA". It matches the Rfam family "Bacterial small subunit ribosomal RNA", at positions 338 to 795 of the family's 1533-position model. The record is from RNAcentral.